CCUACGGGGGGCUGCAGUAGGGAAUAUUGCACAAUGGGCGCAAGCCUGAUGCAGCCAUGCCGCGUGUGUGAAGAAGGCCUUCGGGUUGUAAAGCACUUUCAGCGGGGAGGAAGGCGUUAAGGUUAAUAACCUUGGCGAUUGACGUUACCCGCAGAAGAAGCACCGGCUAACUCCGUGCCAGCAGCCGCGGUAAUACGGAGGGUGCAAGCGUUAAUCGGAAUUACUGGGCGUAAAGCGCACGCAGGCGGUCUGUCAAGUCGGAUGUGAAAUCCCCGGGCUCAACCUGGGAACUGCAUUCGAAACUGGCAGGCUAGAGUCUUGUAGAGGGGGGUAGAAUUCCAGGUGUAGCGGUGAAAUGCGUAGAGAUCUGGAGGAAUACCGGUGGCGAAGGCGGCCCCCUGGACAAAGACUGACGCUCAGGUGCGAAAGCGUGGGGAGCAAACAGGAUUAGAUACCCGAGUAGUC
Molecule: ribosomal RNA, 465 nt
Filed under: uncultured Klebsiella sp.
Lineage: Bacteria; Pseudomonadati; Pseudomonadota; Gammaproteobacteria; Enterobacterales; Enterobacteriaceae
Description: bacterial SSU rRNA
Rfam family: Bacterial small subunit ribosomal RNA
Source: RNAcentral